AAUAAAAAAUAAAAAAAUCACAUAUUUUUUUCGUUUUAAAUUACUUGUAAUACUUUCUAUUUAUAGAUGUUUCAUAUUACUCGCUAUAUUACCCUUUUUGACAAAAGACAACUAUGUAAUUCUCUAUUUUACCCUUAUUUUAUUCAUAUCCCACAUAUCAUUAUCAAUUAUAUACUUUUACUUUAAUUACUUUAAUUUCCACUACCUAUUAUCUACAUUUAAUAACUCAAUAAACUUUUUUCCCAAAUGGCUAAAUAAUUAAAUUCAAUAAUUACCCCUCCAUAAAUAGAAUUACCAAAACUCUAACCCCUUUAUUAUUUACGGAUUUUAGAUGCUCAUCCUCACCUUUCUUUCCAUAAGAUUAAUCAAUCUUACUUCUGCCUCAAAACCCCUUCUUCCCUCAAUAUCACUCAUUUCUCCCUCCCUCUUAUAAACCCUAAAUCAGGUUCACUGUUUUAUCUUUAGGGGUUUUUACUUCUGUUGAUCAUUCCUUUUUAAUCAGUUUCAUUUUUCCUGCUCCAUUUCGUAUCAGUUUUUAAGGGUUUUUUCUUCAUCUUCAUCUUACCAGUUUUGUAAACAAUUUUUUUUGGGUUUAUUUUCAUCUUCAACUUUAUUUCGUAAUCAGUUCUGUAUUCAAGUUGAUCUUCAUGUUCAACGUUUUGGGGUUUUUAUUGGUUGAUUUUAUCUUUUCAUUUGAAUGAAAAAAAAGGAAGCUUUGAAGAAGAAGCAAAAUGGCUUUAACAGACAUUCACAUUCCCAAAUCCCGCCCAAAUAAACCCUAAAUCAACUCUCUCUUCUUCAUCCUCUCACUGAAACCGGCGGCCCUCUUACAAUACCAUCUGUUCUCCUCCAAUCCGGCGGGUAGAACACGUUCAUCUCCGGCAGCCUGUAAUACCGUAGGUACUUUCGGAUAGGAUUGAUCUUCCAUGUAUGCUUGUGAAAGGGAGUGUAUACAUAGGCAUUGAUGAGGGGGCUGUGAACUUGAUUAAAUUUGGUGAAGGAAGUAUCACGAAGAAACAAAUUUGUUGAUGAUGGAUCAAGGAGAGCUGUGAUUCGGAUUUAUAACAGUUCGAUUAACAAUCGGUUCGGGUUGGUAUCAGUUCGGGUUCAUAACAGUUCGAUUAAUAAUCGAUUCGGGUUUGUAUCAGUUCGGGUUAAAAACAAUUCGAUCUUAAUCGGUUUUAGUCAGGUUGCAUUCGGUUACGUGCAUAAUUCGGGUCGGAUUUGACUCGGGUCGAUCACUGUUCAGUUCGGGUAACAUCGGUUAAGGUUUAUAUGUCGGUUAUAAAAUUCGGUUGCAGUUCGACUUCGAUUUUGCCCUUUUCGGUUAUUAAACGGUUCGAGUGAAGUAUCGGUUCGGGUAAUUGCGGUUCGGUAAACCUAAAAAACUUACAUUUUUCGGGUCGGAUAAUUUUCGGUUCCGGGUCGGAUUUUCGGGUCGGGUUUGUUUUGAACAGCUCUAAAAACACACAAUACUUGUCAGAAAAAUGCAAAUGCUUCCCACAAAAUUUACUCUUUCCACUCCAAACCCAAAACCAUCCCACUAUCUCUCCUCCAUUAAUGCAAUCUCCACACUCUCUCUCCUCCCCAAACUCUCUUCCCUCUCUUUAAUCCACAACCACCUUCCUCCGUUCAGCAUCAUCCGUAUGGGUGGCGGUCCUAGAACUUUCCCAGGAGGCGUUUCAAAAUGGCAAUGGAAAAGAAUGCAAGCCAGGAAAGCCAAACAACUCCUUAAAGCUCGUUUAGCUCGUGAACGUCAAAUCUACGAAAUGCGUAAACGAGCUGAACUUAAAGCUGUUGUUUCAAAUCUUGAACGUCCAUGGGAAGUUGUUCAAAAGGAUGCUCUUAAAACUUCUUCUUCACUUUUCUCUGUUUCUGCUGACGAACAACUUAAGGUUUUAGCUGACCGAUUUCAGAAACCUGGUGGUUUUGAUUUGUGGUCUGAGAAUGAUGGGCCUCAGAUUUUUCAUACUCCUGAUGGUAAUUUGCCUUAUUCUAGGUUUUUCCCUAAAGGGGUUGUUCAUAGUAUUAAGCCUUAUGGUCAGAUUGAUGAAGGUAAAGGUGAAAAAUCGAGUAUUAAUCGAAGCCUUAAGGAUAGAAAUGGGAAGAAAUUGGAUAAUGGCGGUGGUAAAAAAGAUGAGAAUUUGUUGGGUUUGAAGGAAGGAAGAAGAAAGAUGAACUCUUCUUCUAAGAGCAAGGGUCGUUCUUAUGAUAGAAGAAGGAACUCAGAACAAGUAUGGGAAUUUAGAAGUAGUUCUAAUGGUGGAGAUGAUGUGUAUGAUAUGAGUUUGCAAGGUGAUGGUAGUUAUGAGUUUAGUGAUGAUGAUAAUGGUGGAAAAUUAGGGUUUUGAUGUAUUCUUGUUUAAGGAAUGCAAUUGCAUACAAUUAUGUAUUGAUUAUACAAAGAAAGUCAAAGGGGGUAAUAGCAAGAUCCUGUGAAGAUUAAGGUGCGUAAAGUCCUAAUUAAGUGCGUGGAGAUAAGAGCUUCUUGGUGAGUGAACUCAACUGAGUUUUUAUCCAUGAUUGGUAGACCGGUUUAUAUCCUUUCAUUUUGAUGCAAUAUCCAUUGGAGGGUCCACUAAAUUCAUGCAUCCAAUCAUCUUGAUUGGAUUCUUAGAUUCAUUGGCCUAAUCCUUGGGUCCUAUUCGGUGCAAAUUGGCCAAUGCUUUCGUCAACUUUGUGCUGCUCAAUGGUGGUCAGAUUUGGUGCUGAAAUGGGUUUUAGCUGUGGAGAUAGCACAAUCCCUGAUGAUAUAGAUUAAAUUAUUGUCCAGAGAAAGAGGCAUCUACUGAGUUUGAUGCAAAAUGAAGAAUUUCAAAGGAUGCUAUUCGUUUUAAGAUGGAUGGAAGUAUGUUCUACAUAAAUUUCUUACAUACAGCAUUUUGUGUAUCUUUUGUAAUAUAUAUCUGAGUGGGUUGAACUUUUUUUUUGUUUUUGAUCUCUGUGGCGGCUGAAUUCAUUAAGUAAAAAUGCGGUUACGGAACGGUGAUGCGUUUAUCGUAACACCUAAAUAUCGAUCAAAGCCAAAAGAUAUCCCUUGAUACAGCCAAAACGCAGUUAUUUUUACACCUUAACAAUGCGAGAAAUUUCAGUUCAUUGUUUUUCAAAAUCUUGACAACGCGGCUGAUACGAUGCGAUACGACCUUGCUGAUCUUAUAUGAUUUUGUUGAUGAAAAGAUAGGAAGAGAAGAUGCCUAAUUGAUGACUUUUUACAUGUUCCCUUUGGUGCUGUGCUGGUAUAGUCCUUUGUUAUCUUGUUGAAGGAUGAAAACAAGGUGGAUUUCAAAAGACCCAAGGUAACAUUCCUACAAUCGUUGUCCCUACAUCUUAUGCUCUAGUUCCCCCUUUAGAUGAACAUUUGGGGACAACUCUUGAAGGUUUUGGGCUUGUGACACAACUUUCACCGAAGAAGAGGUUCCAAGAGGAUAUAAUGUUUGAUAAUAAGGAAUCUGUGGUUGAAGCUGUUAGAUUGUAUCAUAUUCGUUGAAAUGUUGAGUAUAGAAUAAAGACUUCCAACCAAACUGUCAUUUCAUUGAAGUGUAAAAGGGGAUGUUUUUGGAAAUUACGGGCUAGUUUAAAUUCUUAUUCAUCUUCAUAGCACAUUGUAACGUAUAAGGGAAAGUGUGGGUUUUGUGUUUUGGGUAGUGACAAUGUUUUACCUAGACACUUUCCUUUGACAUCUUCAGUGAUUAACAAUUUGAUUAUAAACUGUAUUGCCCAAGACCUAUCAAUUAAGGUCUCUGUGAUUAACUACGUUGAUUUAUUAUCUACCACGUGGAAAAGCCAAAAACUCAGGUCAACACGUGAAAUUUCUCUAAAUUAAAUAUACAAUUUUUCUUAUUUU
This is an RNA transcript of Amaranthus tricolor (Joseph's coat), 3844 nucleotides long. RefSeq lists it as uncharacterized. The record is from RefSeq and is a predicted model, not a curated record. Lineage: Eukaryota; Viridiplantae; Streptophyta; Magnoliopsida; Caryophyllales; Amaranthaceae. The transcript is spliced from 5 exons.